CAUAAGCAGUAUUUCAAAAUAACUUAUAUUUUCUAAACAAUAAUAUAACUUGUAUUAGAGAUUCUUCUGAGUUAUUGCAAAUGAAAUUCGAGGAUUCCUAAAACAUGCAUGAAAGAAUCAAAUCAACACUCUGGUGGAGCACCCGGUUCAGCUGCUGCCUGGAAGACACGUUGUCCGGAGUUACGAAGCGACCCUGCAGACGACACCACUGCACAGCUUUUGUAUGGCCCGAGGUCAGAGGUCAGCUGUUGUGAGGGUAGCAGCA
Long non-coding RNA from Gambusia affinis (western mosquitofish), 265 nucleotides. RefSeq lists it as uncharacterized. The record is from RefSeq and is a predicted model, not a curated record. Lineage: Eukaryota; Metazoa; Chordata; Actinopteri; Cyprinodontiformes; Poeciliidae. The transcript is spliced from 3 exons.